UGUAAACUGCAGUAGGGGUCCAGUGGUUGAUGAAGUAGCCCUUGUAGAGCAUUUGAAACAAAAUCCUAUGUUUCGUGUUGGCCUUGAUGUCUUUGAGGUAACUGAACUGGACUUCUCUGUCUCAAUUUUUGUCGAUGAAAGCGAAACCACCAUUAAGUCAUGCAUGAUUGUUCUCCAAUUCUUUUGUAUCAGGAUGAACCUUACAUGAAGCCCGGGCUUGCUGACAUGAAGAAUGCUGUUGUUGUACCUCACAUUGCUUCUGCUUCCAAGGUAAAACUGAUAGAUACAUGAUUUGACCGAGGUCAUUAAGGCUUUCCAUGGCCAAUCAGUGACAUUAACAAAUAUUUCGCCUCGUUGGUUUUGUAGUGGACUCGUGAAGGAAUGGCAACACUAGCUGCUCUGAAUGUCCUGGUACGUUGAAAUUUAGAAAAAAAUCAAACAAGUAGCUCCAGAGCCAUUUUCAAGUUCAUUUAGCUGAUGUUUAAUCCCUAUGUUUUGGCUGCUCUCUGUAUUGCAGGGAAAGAUUAAAGGGUAUCCAGUGUGGGGCGAUCCGAAUCGGGUAGCACCAUUUUUGAAUGAGAAUGCUCCUCCACCUGCUGCAAGUCCAAGUAUUGUGAACGCAAAAGCCUUAGGUAAUGCAAAGGACUUGGAUAAUUGUUUGCCAAGUGAAUCUCCAGUCUCCACAUUUGAGGCAUCUCUUGACCUUGUUAUCUUGCUUUUGCCACAGGUCUACCUGUUUCAAAGCUAUAAAUCAUGGAAGGCUGAUCAUCAUCUAGGGGCCUUGUGGUUUAUAAUGUGUGUGUUUCUGAAUAUCGGAUCAUGGUCUCUACUAUGAUUUUCUCUUGGUAGAUGCAUAACAACCGUGUAAUGAGUAUUAUGAACUUAAAUAGCAAUAUUUUGCUCUGAGCUUAUGUUGUUGACACUAUGCUUUAAGC
This 935-nucleotide long non-coding RNA is filed under the name Populus trichocarpa (black cottonwood). RNAcentral's name for it is "long non-coding RNA (PTRI_LNC001300)". Lineage: Eukaryota; Viridiplantae; Streptophyta; Magnoliopsida; Malpighiales; Salicaceae. The record is from RNAcentral.